GGCAAGAUGGCCGAGCGGUCUAAGGCGCUGGAAUCAGGACACUAGCUCCACAUCCAGUCCGAAAGGGCGUGGGUUCAAAUCCCACUCUUGUCA
Molecule: transfer RNA, 93 nt
Filed under: Postia placenta Mad-698-R
Lineage: Eukaryota; Fungi; Basidiomycota; Agaricomycetes; Polyporales; Adustoporiaceae
Rfam family: tRNA
About the family: Transfer RNA (tRNA) molecules are approximately 80 nucleotides in length. Their secondary structure includes four short double-helical elements and three loops (D, anti-codon, and T loops).
Source: Rfam by way of RNAcentral